AUCACCUGGGAAUCUUGUUAAAAUGCGGAUCCUAAUUCAGGAGGUCUGGGGUAGUGCUUGCGAUUCUGCAUUUCUAAUAAGAUCCCAGGUGAUGCUGA
This 98-nucleotide microRNA precursor is filed under the name Canis lupus familiaris (dog). RNAcentral describes it as "mir-544 microRNA precursor family". It matches the Rfam family "mir-544 microRNA precursor family". The record is from Rfam by way of RNAcentral. Lineage: Eukaryota; Metazoa; Chordata; Mammalia; Carnivora; Canidae. RNAcentral also lists the same sequence under 1 other name.